AUCUAGUUUGACGACCAUUUUGUUCUGGAUAGGAGUUCCUGGUACCAGGUUGUUUAUGUUGUCGCUUGGAGUAUCCUGCCUGCUGGUCCCAUGUCACCUCAGAAGAUCUGUCUUCACUGUUGUCCAUUUGUAAUUUUGGUAUUUGUGUAUCUAGCUUGUGUUUCGAUUUUGUUUCCGGAGUGGUGUUUUGUGGUGUGGUGUAAGCCUAGCCGGCUAGCAUGUUAUAUAUUUUGGUUUUCUAU
This is a long non-coding RNA of Zingiber officinale, 242 nucleotides long. RefSeq lists it as uncharacterized. NCBI's taxonomy places the organism in Eukaryota, Viridiplantae, Streptophyta, Magnoliopsida, Zingiberales, Zingiberaceae. The transcript has 2 exons. The record is from RefSeq and is a predicted model, not a curated record.